UGGGGAAUUUUGGACAAUGGGCGCAAGCCUGAUCCAGCAAUGCCGCGUGCAGGAUGAAGGCCUUCGGGUUGUAAACUGCUUUUGUACGGAACGAAAAGGCUCUGGUUAAUACCUGGAGCAUAUGACGGUACCGUAAGAAUAAGCACCGGCUAACUACGUGCCAGCAGCCGCGGUAAUACGUAGGGUGCGAGCGUUAAUCGGAAUUACUGGGCGUAAAGCGUGCGCAGGCGGUUUUGUAAGACAGAGGUGAAAUCCCCGGGCUCAACCUGGGAACUGCCUUUGUGACUGCAAGGCUGGAGUGCGGCAGAGGGGGAUGGAAUUCCGCGUGUAGCAGUGAAAUGCGUAGAUAUGGCGGAGGAACACCGAUGGCGAAGGCAAUCCCCUGGGCCUGCACCUGGACGCUCAUGCACGAAAGCGUGGGGAGCAAACAGGAUUA
Molecule: ribosomal RNA, 436 nt
Filed under: uncultured bacterium
Lineage: Bacteria
Description: partial 16S ribosomal RNA
Rfam family: Bacterial small subunit ribosomal RNA
Source: RNAcentral